GCGGGCGUAGUAUAGUGGUAAUACAUAGCCUUGCCAAGGCUAAGACGGGAGUUCGAUUCUCCUCGCCCGCU
This 71-nucleotide transfer RNA is filed under the name Candidatus Harrisonbacteria bacterium CG10_big_fil_rev_8_21_14_0_10_42_17. RNAcentral describes it as "tRNA-Gly". It matches the Rfam family "tRNA". Rfam says of the family: Transfer RNA (tRNA) molecules are approximately 80 nucleotides in length. Their secondary structure includes four short double-helical elements and three loops (D, anti-codon, and T loops). Further hydrogen bonds mediate the characteristic L-shaped molecular structure. tRNAs have two regions of fundamental functional importance: the anti-codon, which is responsible for specific mRNA codon recognition, and the 3' end, to which the tRNAs corresponding amino acid is attached (by aminoacyl-tRNA synthetases). tRNAs cope with the degeneracy of the genetic code in two manners: having more than one tRNA (with a specific anti-codon) for a particular amino acid; and 'wobble' base-pairing, i.e. permitting non-standard base-pairing at the 3rd anti-codon position. Lineage: Bacteria; Candidatus Harrisoniibacteriota. The record is from RNAcentral.